UGUCAGUUUUGAGGUUCUACUCUAAAUACUAAUGCUACCUAAAUUAAAUAGAUUUUUGAAGCUCCGAACUAAACCACCAAUGACAUGCGGCACUGUUAUCAUAAACACCGAGCAAUCAUGUAAAUUCAACUCUUAAUCUGUAUUCCUUAGCAGAUCAGUUUCAGCAUCUCAGUUUCAGCAUCUCAGUUUCAGCAUCUCAGUUUCAGCAUCUCAGUUUCAUUAUCUGUUGGAAAUUUUUCAUGAAUAUUAGAUUUUUUAGUUACUGUCCACUGUGAGCUAUGCUUUGAUCGUUGGUGUUACAACGAAGUCUGUGGAAAAAAGCUCUGCAUUUUGGUAACUUCACGUUUUCCAAGGGCUACAGAAGCAGUGACAUUGGCAACUUCGGCUUCUUUUACGUCUGUCGUUAACGUUUCGCUAUGAACUGAGCGAAAACUGCACUACUAGAUGAAGUUUCGAUAUUUAAUUCAGCAAACUCAACAAGACUUGAGCGGCAAGAUGUUGCAUGGAGGAAUUCAAUAGCAUGCCACAGGGAUAACAUUCUAGGACUGUAUGGUGGUUAAGUUUGUAAAGAAUACCUUUGGAGAGAGGGCUCAAGUGACAUUGCAAAAACCUUGUGGCUCGGAGGUAGGCAUCGCCCGACUUCAAACCAACCUGGCUGAGAAAAAUUCAAGGGGCAAAAGUCAAAGCUAGCGCCUGCAGGUAGCCCAGUCACCAAACUAUAUAAAGUUGCGUUGCAAAUUCCUUUGUGUGGAAGAUGUAGGGGGUGGGGAAGGUAGGAUUUGAGUCAUCAGUCAUGAGAGAUCUUUGGUGGAAAUCUUGGUUGAGUUCUUACGAGGUUUAAUUUGUUUUGGACUUUGUCCCUUUAUUCAGUCAGACCCAUGCUUUAUAGCAUUAUUUAUCAUUUAUUUAUUAUUAUUUAUUUCUUUUAUUGAACUUUAUUUAUACACGGGUAAAAACAUCAGGACUUAAAGCAAAUACUAAAAUUACAUUAAUUACAUUGUUAAGAUACUAAUCUACUACUAGUUGAACCUAAUAACAACAAAACAACAACGAAGUGCCUACUUUCCAUGAAUGCUGUGUGAUUAAUUAAUUUAUUUACUAUCAAAAAGGAAACCUCUGCAACCGGAUUUAAAAGGAGCGAUAGUUUCUGCUUGCCAUAGAUUAGUAGGUAAGCUGUUCCACAUCAGCGCACCAUUAUAGCUGAGACUGUUUUUUAGAAAAUUGAUACGGGGGAGUGGAACAGCUAGUUUGCCCUCACAAUUCCUAAGAGAGUAGGUAAAUAUUGCACUCCGAUCAGUAAACAUUGAUUUCAAAUAAUCAAGGGCGAGACCAUUAAGAGACUUAUAGACCAUAGUGGCUGUCUUUAAUUCUCGUUGAAGGCUAAGUUUUGCCAGCCUAGUCUAACAAAGAGAUCAUCCGCAUUGGCAUCGUAUGAAGAAGAAGUUAAAAUACGCGCAGCGCGAUACUGUAGUUUUUGUAAUUUAAUGGAAGAAGACUUGUUGAAACCCCUUGUAGUGGACUAGAUCAUUUUGAUUGGAGUUGGGGUGGGGCUGGG
RNAcentral lists this long non-coding RNA (1555 nucleotides) under Stylophora pistillata. RNAcentral describes it as "uncharacterized LOC111347030, transcript variant X2". Lineage: Eukaryota; Metazoa; Cnidaria; Anthozoa; Scleractinia; Pocilloporidae. The record is from RNAcentral.